RNAcentral lists this unclassified non-coding RNA (245 nucleotides) under Hevea brasiliensis (rubber tree). The record is from RNAcentral. Lineage: Eukaryota; Viridiplantae; Streptophyta; Magnoliopsida; Malpighiales; Euphorbiaceae.
AUAAUCAACAAUACCAAAAGCCCCUGAAUAAAAAAGUGUCAUUUCAGUAGAAAUUGAAGCGCAAAGCUCAUUAAAUGUUUAAUGCAGAAUAAUCCAACAUAUUAAACCAUUUUGUGCCCAAUCCAAAGCAGGAAGUGAAAUCAAAUUCCUAUAAAUUACCAUAGAAAAAAAAUGCUAAAACAUGAAUAUAUUUAUAAAUGUUUACUCUAGUAAAAGUAAUACCAUCACUGUCUCGAGAAACUUCA